AUAAGUUUUACUCUCAAUUUAAAUAAUAUAUACAUAAAAAUAGUUCACUGCAAAUGCAAUACUUACAGCUCCCUAAAUUUAGUUAUCUUCUCAAUAUCACAAUUCACAAACAGCCUAGAAACAUUUCUGCUCGUGCAUACACGCACAUCACCUACAAUAUAUAUUUUAAUACAUGAAUUUAAUAAGACAAAUAAAAUAAGGAAUAAACUGAUAUAAGAUUUAACCUUUACCCUUGUAAAGUGUCGGCCUGCAAAAUUGUAUUAUAACAAUUGGCAGCAUGUUUUGUUCAUUCAUGGCUUGCAUUCUGAAUGAGUCGACAUAUUCCUCCCAAAGAGUACAAUACAUUUUAUUGUGACUGUAUAUGUAAAAAACAAUUCAGAUUCCAAAUAAAGAACUAAACAGAAAAUAAAGAAUUUUAAACUUACCUGGAAUCCUCAAGCACAAGCUCUAUGAGCUUCGCAUUGUUCUGAUCUUUAAUACACCCCUUUCCCACCAACACUCCAAUAAUAUCUACAGUUUCAUAUAUCUCAAUAUUAAAAAAGUAUUUAAUAAGCAUAUAUAUAUAUAACACAUCAAAUAAGAUGUAAAUAACUAUUUACCAAACAACACUUCCUCAUUAGCAUCUUCA
This 628-nucleotide long non-coding RNA is filed under the name Salvia miltiorrhiza (redroot sage). RNAcentral describes it as "long non-coding RNA (SMIL_LNC014340)". The record is from RNAcentral. Lineage: Eukaryota; Viridiplantae; Streptophyta; Magnoliopsida; Lamiales; Lamiaceae.